Molecule: transfer RNA, 74 nt
Filed under: Acidipila sp.
Lineage: Bacteria; Pseudomonadati; Acidobacteriota; Terriglobia; Terriglobales; Acidobacteriaceae
Description: tRNA-Gly
Rfam family: tRNA
About the family: Transfer RNA (tRNA) molecules are approximately 80 nucleotides in length. Their secondary structure includes four short double-helical elements and three loops (D, anti-codon, and T loops).
Source: RNAcentral
GCGGGCGUGGUUCAAUGGUAGAAUUGUUGCUUCCCAAGCAACGGACGUGGGUUCGAUUCCCAUCGCCCGCUCCA